This 72-nucleotide transfer RNA is filed under the name Adiantum nelumboides. Its description in RNAcentral is "tRNA-Asn". It matches the Rfam family "tRNA". From Rfam's summary of the family: Transfer RNA (tRNA) molecules are approximately 80 nucleotides in length. Their secondary structure includes four short double-helical elements and three loops (D, anti-codon, and T loops). The record is from RNAcentral. Lineage: Eukaryota; Viridiplantae; Streptophyta; Polypodiopsida; Polypodiales; Pteridaceae.
UCCCUGGUAGCUCAGCGGUAGAGCGGUCGGCUGUUAACCGAUUGGUCUACGGUUCGAAUCCCAUCCGGGGAG